Picea glauca (white spruce) is the source of this 105-nucleotide non-coding RNA. Lineage: Eukaryota; Viridiplantae; Streptophyta; Pinopsida; Pinales; Pinaceae. The record is from Rfam.
AUGUACAUGCCUACAACAUUAAUUCAUUAGAUCACAUUAUAACUCUAUAGUUAAGCAUGAUUGGGCUAGAGUAGUACUUAUGGGGAAGUCCUAGUGUUUUACAUU